AAUCCAUAGGUUAAUGAGGCGAACCGGGGGAACUGAAACAUCUAAGUACCCCGAGGAAAAGAAAUCAACCGAGAUUCCCCCAGUAGCGGCGAGCGAACGGGGAGGAGCCCAGAGCCUGAAUCAGCAUGUGUGUUAGUGGAAGCGUCUGGAAAGGCGCGCGAUACAGGGUGACAGCCCCGUACACAAAAGCGCAUGUGCUGUGAGCUCGAUGAGUAGGGCGGGACACGUGGUAUCCUGUCUGAAUAUGGGGGGACCAUCCUCCAAGGCUAAAUACUCCUGACUGACCGAUAGUGAACCAGUACCGUGAGGGAAAGGCGAAAAGAACCCCGGCGAGGGGAGUGAAAAAGAACCUGAAACCGUGUACGUACAAGCAGUGGGAGCACAGGUUUACCUGUGUGACUGCGUACCUUUUGUAUAAUGGGUCAGCGACUUAUAUUCUGUAGCAAGGUUAACCGAAUAGGGGAGCCGGAGGGAAACCGAGUCUUAAUUGGGCGUUAAGUUGCAGGGUAUAGACCCGAAACCCGGUGAUCUAGCCAUGGGCAGGUUGAAGGUUGGGUAACACUAACUGGAGGACCGAACCGACUAAUGUUGAAAAAUUAGCGGAUGACCUGUGGCUGGGGGUGAAAGGCCAAUCAAACCGGGAGAUAGCUGGUUCUCCCCGAAAGCUAUUUAGGUAGCGCCUCGUGAAUUCAUCUCCGGGGGUAGAGCACUGUUUCGGCUAGGGGGCCAUCCCGGCUUACCAACCCGAUGCAAACUGCGAAUACCGGAGAAUGUUAUCACGGGAGACACACGGCGGGUGCUAACGUCCGUCGUGAAGAGGGAAACAACCCAGACCGCCAGCUAAGGUCCCAAAGUCAUGGUUAAGUGGGAAACGAUGUGGGAAGGCCCAGACAGCCAGGAUGUUGGCUUAGAAGCAGCCAUCAUUUAAAGAAAGCGUAAUAGCUCACUGGUCGAGUCGGCCUGCGCGGAAGAUGUAACGGGGCUAAACCAUGCACCGAAGCUGCGGCAGCGACACUGUGUGUUGUUGGGUAGGGGAGCGUUCUGUAAGCCUGCGAAGGUGGCCUGUGAGGGUUGCUGGAGGUAUCAGAAGUGCGAAUGCUGACAUAAGUAACGAUAAAGCGGGUGAAAAGCCCGCUCGCCGGAAGACCAAGGGUUCCUGUCCAACGUUAAUCGGGGCAGGGUGAGUCGACCCCUAAGGCGAGGCCGAAAGGCGUAGUCGAUGGGAAACGGGUUAAUAUUCCCGUACUUGGUGUUACUGCGAAGGGGGGACGGAGAAGGCUAUGUUGGCCGGGCGACGGUUGUCCCGGUUUAAGCGUGUAGGUGUGUGUUCCAGGUAAAUCCGGUUCACUUUAACACUGAGGCGUGACGACGAGGCACUACGGUGCUGAAGCAACAAAUGCCCUGCUUCCAGGAAAAGCCUCUAAGCAUCAGGUAACAUCAAAUCGUACCCCAAACCGACACAGGUGGUCAGGUAGAGAAUACCAAGGCGCUUGAGAGAACUCGGGUGAAGGAACUAGGCAAAAUGGUGCCGUAACUUCGGGAGAAGGCACGCUGACACGUAGGUGAAGUGAUUUACUCAUGGAGCUGAAGUCAGUCGAAGAUACCAGCUGGCUGCAACUGUUUAUUAAAAACACAGCACUGUGCAAACACGAAAGUGGACGUAUACGGUGUGACGCCUGCCCGGUGCCGGAAGGUUAAUUGAUGGGGUCAGCGCAAGCGAAGCUCCUGAUCGAAGCCCCGGUAAACGGCGGCCGUAACUAUAACGGUCCUAAGGUAGCGAAAUUCCUUGUCGGGUAAGUUCCGACCUGCACGAAUGGCGUAAUGAUGGCCAGGCUGUCUCCACCCGAGACUCAGUGAAAUUGAACUCGCUGUGAAGAUGCAGUGUACCCGCGGCAAGACGGAAAGACCCCGUGAACCUUUACUAUAGCUUGACACUGAACAUUGAGCCUUGAUGUGUAGGAUAGGUGGGAGGCUUUGAAGUGUGGACGCCAGUCUGCAUGGAGCCGACCUUGAAAUACCACCCUUUAAUGUUUGAUGUUCUAACGUGGACCCGUUACCCGGGUUGCGGACAGUGUCUGGUGGGUAGUUUGACUGGGGCGGUCUCCUCCUAAAGAGUAACGGAGGAGCACGAAGGUUGGCUAAUCCUGGUCGGACAUCAGGAGGUUAGUGCAAUGGCAUAAGCCAGCUUGACUGCGAGCGUGACGGCGCGAGCAGGUGCGAAAGCAGGUCAUAGUGAUCCGGUGGUUCUGAAUGGAAGGGCCAUCGCUCAACGGAUAAAAGGUACUCCGGGGAUAACAGGCUGAUACCGCCCAAGAGUUCAUAUCGACGGCGGUGUUUGGCACCUCGAUGUCGGCUCAUCACAUCCUGGGGCUGAAGUAGGUCCCAAGGGUAUGGCUGUUCGCCAUUUAAAGUGGUACGCGAGCUGGGUUUAGAACGUCGUGAGACAGUUCGGUCCCUAUCUGCCGUGGGCGCUGGAGAACUGAGGGGGGCUGCUCCUAGUACGAGAGGACCGGAGUGGACGCAUCACUGGUGUUCGGGUUGUCAUGCCAAUGGCACUGCCCGGUAGCUAAAUGCGGAAGAGAUAAGUGCUGAAAGCAUCUAAGCACGAAACUUGCCCCGAGAUGAGUUCUCCCUGAGACUUAAAGUCUCCUGAAGG
Molecule: ribosomal RNA, 2656 nt
Filed under: Salmonella enterica subsp. enterica serovar Enteritidis
Lineage: Bacteria; Pseudomonadati; Pseudomonadota; Gammaproteobacteria; Enterobacterales; Enterobacteriaceae
Description: partial 23S ribosomal RNA
Rfam family: Bacterial large subunit ribosomal RNA
Source: RNAcentral